RNAcentral lists this ribosomal RNA (182 nucleotides) under Mycoplasma wenyonii. Its description in RNAcentral is "partial 16S ribosomal RNA". It matches the Rfam family "Bacterial small subunit ribosomal RNA", at positions 331 to 513 of the family's 1533-position model. The record is from RNAcentral. Lineage: Bacteria; Bacillati; Mycoplasmatota; Mollicutes; Mycoplasmatales; Mycoplasmataceae.
UUAUAUUCCUACGGGAAGCAGCAGUGAGGAAUUUUUCACAAUGGGGGGUAGUCUGAUGGAGCAAUACCACGUGAACGAUGAAGGUCUUCUGAUUGUAAAGUUCUUUUAUUUAGGAAAAAAAGCGUGCUAGGAAAUGAGCGCGCCUUGAUGGUACUAAUAUUAAGUCUAACGAAGAGAGAACA